AAGACCUUACGCUUUUGGAGCGGCCGAUGUCUGAUUAGCUUGUUGGUGAGGUAAAGGCUUACCAAGGCUUCGAUCAGUAGCUGGUCUGAGAGGACGACCAGCCACACUGGGACUGAGACACGGCCCAGACUCCUACGGGAGGCAGCAGUGGGGAAUUUUGGACAAUGGGGGAAACCCUGAUCCAGCCAUGCCGCAUGAGUGAAGAAGGCCUUCGGGUUGUAAAGCUCUUUCAGCCGGAACGAAACGGUUACGAUUAAUACCUGUAACUACUGACGGUACCGGAAGAAGAAGCACCGGCUAACUACGUGCCAGCAGCCGCGGUAAUACGUAGGGUGCGAGCGUUAAUCGGAAUUACUGGGCGUAAAGCGUGCGCAGGUGGUUUUGUAAGUCAGAUGUGAAAUCCCCGGGCUUAACCUGGGAACU
This 423-nucleotide ribosomal RNA is filed under the name uncultured bacterium. RNAcentral's name for it is "bacterial SSU rRNA". It matches the Rfam family "Bacterial small subunit ribosomal RNA", at positions 207 to 622 of the family's 1533-position model. The record is from RNAcentral.